UACGUAGGGUGCAAGCGUUUGUCCGGAAUUAUUGGGCGUAAAGAGCUUGUAGGCGGUUUGUCGCGUCUGCUGUGAAAUUUCGGGGCUCAACCCCGAACUUGCAGUGGGUACGGGCAGACUAGAGUGUGGUAGGGGGUGACUGGAAUUCCUGGUGUAGCGGUGGAAUGCGCAGAUAUCAGGAGGAACACCGAUGGCGAAGGCAGGUCACUGGGCCGCAACUGACGCUGAGGAGCGAAAGCAUGGGGAGCGAACAGG
RNAcentral lists this ribosomal RNA (255 nucleotides) under uncultured bacterium. RNAcentral's name for it is "partial 16S ribosomal RNA". It matches the Rfam family "Bacterial small subunit ribosomal RNA", at positions 524 to 776 of the family's 1533-position model. The record is from RNAcentral.